This is a long non-coding RNA of Alosa sapidissima (American shad), 100 nucleotides long. RefSeq lists it as uncharacterized. The record is from RefSeq and is a predicted model, not a curated record. Lineage: Eukaryota; Metazoa; Chordata; Actinopteri; Clupeiformes; Clupeidae. The transcript is spliced from 3 exons.
AUAAUUUUACAUAAUGGGUUAUAUUAAUUUAAUAAAUUUAAUAUAUAUAUCGCUAUUCCGCGUGUGGCCUUUCCCUACUCUGUUGCUUGCUUUGAGCCAG